Molecule: ribosomal RNA, 1443 nt
Filed under: metagenome
Description: bacterial LSU rRNA
Rfam family: Bacterial large subunit ribosomal RNA
Source: RNAcentral
CCUCACAGAUGGUUAAUAUUCCAUCGCCAGGCCGGUUUAAGGCCGAUAGGAACGCAGAGAGAAAAGUGACUAGACAAUCGAAUGUCGAGCCGAGGGGCGACCCAAAGCGCAUCACCAGACAAUCUGUCGAGAAAAGCUAUCGGUUGUUCCCCGGACUGCCCGUACCGCAAACCGACACAGGUGGGUGAGUCGAGUAGACUCAGGCGCGCGAGAGAGACCUUUCUAAGGAACUCGCAAAAUAGCCCCGUAACUUCGGGAGAAGGGGUGCCCCACGCAAGUGGGGUCUCAGUAAAUUGGGUUUAGCGACUGUUUAACAAAAACACAGCACUCUGCCAAGUCGUGAAGACGACGUAUAGGGUGUGACACGUGACCAAUGCGGAAAGAUCAAGGUAAGUUGUUAGCCCGCAAGGGCGAAGCUCCGAGCCUAAGUCCCCGUGAAUGUCGGCCGUAACUAUAACGGUCCUAAGGUAGCGAAAUUCCUUGUCGGGUAAGUUCCGACCUGCACGAAUCGUGUAACGACUGAACCGCUGUCUCGGAGAGGAUCUCGGCGAAAUUGUAACUGCGGUGAAGAUGCCGCAUGCCCGCAGUAGGACGGAAAGACCCUAUGCACCUUUACUGUAAGCUGAUAUUGUGUUCUGGUUCAUGAUGCGUAGCGUAGGUGGGAGGCGUUGAAGCCUGGUUUUAGGGCCAGGCGGAGCCAAAAUGUGAAACACCACUCUUUGUGAAUUAGGAUUCUAACCUCCAUUCCUGUCAACCAGGGGAGGGACAGUGUCUGCGGGUCAGUUUGGCUGGGGCGGCUUCCUCCCAAAAGGUAACGGAGGAGCGCGAAGGUACUCUCAGCAUGGUUUGCAACCAUGCGUACGAGCGUAUGGGUAGAAGAGUGCUUAACUGUAAGACCUACAAGUCGAGCAGAUGCGAAAGCAGGCCCAAAUGAUCCGACGGUGGAAUGUGGAAUUGCCGUCGCUCAACGGACAAAAGGUACGCUAGGGAUAACAGGCUGAUCGAUUCCAAGAGUUCAUAUCGACGAAUCGGUUUGGCACCUCGAUGUCGGCUCAUCGCAUCCUGGGGCUGGAGAAGGUCCCAAGGGUCCGGCUGUUCGCCGGUUAAAGCGGUACGCGAGCUGGGUUCAGAACGUCGUGAGACAGUUCGGUCCUUAUCCACUGUGGGCGCAGGAAACUUGAGGGGUUCAUUCCCUAGUACGAGAGGACCGGGAAUGACGCGCUUCUGGUGUGGCAAUUGUACCGUCAGGUGCAUCGUUGCGUAGCCAUGCGCGGAAGAGAUAAGCGCUGAAAGCAUCUAAGCGCCAAGCUCCUCCCAAGAUAUGGUUUCCCCCGUCGCAAGACGGCUAAAGGCCCCCGGAAGACCACCGGGUUGAUAGGUUGGGCGUGCACAGGGAGCAAUCCCUUUAGCGGACCAAUACUAAUCGGCCGUGCGGCUUGAUCG